This 2250-nucleotide ribosomal RNA is filed under the name Triticum aestivum (bread wheat). RNAcentral describes it as "partial small subunit ribosomal RNA". Lineage: Eukaryota; Viridiplantae; Streptophyta; Magnoliopsida; Poales; Poaceae. The record is from RNAcentral.
AUGGAGAUCCCUGACCAGCAGCCUGCGGUCGCAGUCGCAGAGAUGGAAGCCCCUGACCAGGAGAAUCCUUGCGCCAUCUGCCUCGGCGGCAUGGCCGCCGGCGGCGGGCAGGCCACCUUCACGGCGGAGUGCUCCCACACCUUCCACUUCAACUGCAUCUCCGCCAGCGUCGCGCACGGCCACCUCGUCUGCCCGCUCUGCAACGCGCGCUGGCGAGAGCUGCCCUUCCUGCGACCCACCGCGCCGGUGCCGCAGCCGCCUACGCUGCCUAGGCUGGGUCGUCCCGUUCCCAUGCACGGCGUGCAGCCUCCGAGCGAGCCGACAGCAUCGCCUCCUCUCAUGCAUGGCGGGAUGCCUCCGUUCCCAGCGCAGGCGCCACCGCCGCCGCGCGGGCAUAUCAUGCAGCAUCACCAGCCGCCGCCGCCGAACGUGCAUGUCGUGCAGCAUCAUCAGCCGCCGCCGCCCGUGCAUACCGUGCAGCAUCAUCAGCCCCCGCCGCCCGAGCCUACGGUCGUCUUCGACGACGACGAGCAGGUGGAGCCGGCCUCCAGGCCGCCAGCUGACAGCACACCGGCAGCUGCAUCGAACGGGGCAGUGGUCGUCAACACGCACGCCGAGUACUCGGCCGUCGCCAGGGACUCGUCCAGCGACAACUUCGCCGUGCUCGUGCACGUCAAGGCUCCCGCGAUGGCCGACACCGUGGCGGCCGGCAGCGACAAGCCGCCCCCGCGCGCGCCGCUGGACCUCGUGACCGUGCUCGACGUCAGCGGCAGCAUGAGCGGCCACAAACUGGCGCUCCUGAAGCAGGCCAUGCGGUUCGUCAUCGACAACCUCGGCCCCAACGACCGCCUCUCCGUCGUGUCCUUCUCCUCCGAGGCGCGCCGGCUGACCAGGCUCACGCGCAUGUCGGACGCCGGGAAGGCACUGGCCGUGAGCGCCGUGGAGUCCCUCGCGGCGCGCGGCGGCACCAACAUCGCCGAGGGGCUCCGCACGGCCGCCAAGGUGCUCGACGAGCGCCGGCACAGGAACGCCGUCUCCAGCGUCGUGCUCCUCUCCGACGGUCAGGAUACCUAUACCAUGAUGAGGCGCCGGGGACCGUCCGGCGUCCAGGCCAACAACUACGAGGAGCUCGUCCCGCCCUCCUUCGCACGCACGGGCGCUGACGGCGAGUGGUCCGCGCCGAUCCACACCUUCGGCUUCGGGAACGACCACGACGCGGCCGCGAUGCACGUCAUCGCCGAGGCGACGGGCGGCACGUUCUCGUUCAUCGAGAACGAGGCUGUGAUACAGGACGCGUUCGCGCAGUGCAUCGGCGGCCUGCUCUCCGUCGUGGUCCAGGAGGCGCGCAUCGCCGUCGCGUGCGUGCACCCCGGGGUCCGUGUCGUCUCCGUCAAGUCCGGCCGUUACGAGAGCCGCGUCGACGAGGACGGCUGCGCCGCAUCUGUCCGAGUCGGGGAGCUCUACGCCGACGAGGAGAGGCGUUUCUUGCUCUUUCUGACCGUGCCAAGAGUCGAAGCGACGGACGGCGACACCACUGCUCUUGCGAGAGUGGUCUUCAGCUACAGAAACGCGGCGAGCGGCGCGGAGGUGAGCGUGACGGCCGAGGACACGGUGGUGGCGAGGCCAGAGCACGCGCCGAGCGCGUCGGAGCGCUCAGUGGAGGUGGAGCGGGAGCGCGUCCGGGUGGAGGCGGCAGAGGACAUCGCGGCGGCGAGGGCAGCGGCGGAGCGGGGCGAGCACCAGGAAGCGGUGGAGAUCCUCGACAACCGUCAGCGGGCGCUGGAGCAGUCGGAGGCGGCAGGGGACGGCGACCCCAUGAUCGUGGCGCUGGGGGCGGAGCUGCAGGAGAUGCGCGGGCGCGUGUCGAACCGGCAGAGCUACAUGCGGUCGGGGCGGGCGUACAUGCUGGCCGGCAUGAGCGCGCACCAGCAGCAACGCGCCACCUCCAGGCAGAUGCUGGAGCCGGAGGAGCAGCAGACGUCGAUGAUGGCGAGGAAUAGUGGAGUGAGGAGGAUGAUCAGAAGAGGAGUGGGGUCGAGCGGCGGGGGAUAUAUGGCGGCAGCGGCGCCCGUGGCCGAGGCGUCGAACGAGGCGACGAUGUCGUACGCGACGCCGGCCAUGCGCGCCAUGCUGCUGCGCUCGCGGGAGGCGCGUGGGGCGUCGGCCGAGCAAGGGCAGCAGGAGGAGCAGCAGCCCAUGGCCGGAAAAGACGAUGCCGGGAGCUCGGGCCCGAAGGACGUGAACCAAUAG